GUAGGUGGCAAGCGUUGUCCGGAAUUAUUGGGCGUAAAGCGCGCGCAGGCGGUUCUUUAAGUCUGAUGUGAAAGCCCACGGCUCAACCGUGGAGGGUCAUUGGAAACUGGAGAACUUGAGUACAGAAGAGGAAAGCGGAGUUCCACGUGUAGCGGUGAAAUGCGUAGAGAUGUGGAGGAACACCAGUGGCGAAGGCGGCUUUCUGGUCUGUAACUGACGCUGAGGCGCGAAAGCGUGGGGGAGCAAACAGGAUUAGAUACCCUGGUAGUCCACGCCGUAAACGAUGAGUGCUAAGUGUUAGGGGGUUUCCGCCCCUUAGUGCUGCAGCUAACGCAUUAAGCACUCCGCCUGGGAGUACGGCCGCAAGGCUG
Molecule: ribosomal RNA, 371 nt
Filed under: uncultured organism
Description: partial 16S ribosomal RNA
Rfam family: Bacterial small subunit ribosomal RNA
Source: RNAcentral